GCGGAUUUUUUUGAUCCUCCGCUUUAAUGAAUGCUGAGUAGUGAUGUGGCCAGGAGCAAGCAUAGAGCCUUCAGGAGUAGAGCCAUUGUUUUCGUUAUUAUCCUCACAGUUAUUGAUCGACGUAGAUCUACCUUGAACCUCCUUAGCCACAGAACGACGAAAUAGUGGUGAAGACUGAUCUCUGAAAUCCAUAGAAGCUCUUUCCCGUAUUUGCUCCAGAUAAAUUUUACGACGCUGUUCACUUUCUCUGAGUCUUUCAGCUAACUUCUGGGCCAGGAGUUCAGCUUCCUCCUGUUGAGC
RNAcentral lists this unclassified non-coding RNA (300 nucleotides) under Hevea brasiliensis (rubber tree). Lineage: Eukaryota; Viridiplantae; Streptophyta; Magnoliopsida; Malpighiales; Euphorbiaceae. The record is from RNAcentral.